Molecule: non-coding RNA, 240 nt
Filed under: Roseburia sp.
Lineage: Bacteria; Bacillati; Bacillota; Clostridia; Lachnospirales; Lachnospiraceae
Description: T-box sequence
Rfam family: T-box leader
About the family: Uncharged tRNA acts as the effector for transcription antitermination of genes in the T-box leader family.
Source: RNAcentral
GAGAAACCGUUGAGAAAGAGUAGUAAGCUUGAUUGGAAAUCAAAGAGAGCUGCAGGUGGUGGAAUUGCAGUAUGGAAGAUUUUGCUGAAUGGACUUUCGAGGGUGGCCUGAAUUAACAGUAGGCGUCACCGGGAACCGAACCCGUUACCAAUCCGGCAUGUAUGAUUCGUACAUGAAUGAGUGGACAAUUCGUCAAUAUGAGUGGUACCGCGAUAAUAAGAUUUUAUUACCGUCUCAAGC